CAGUAGCCACGGGAAUACGAAGGGGGCUAGCGUUGCUCGGAAUUACUGGGCGUAAAGGGAGCGUAGGCGGACAUUUAAGUCAGGGGUGAAAUCCCGGGGCUCAACCUCGGAAUUGCCUUUGAUACUGGGUGUCUUGAGUAUGAGAGAGGUAUGUGGAACUCCGAGUGUAGAGGUGAAAUUCGUAGAUAUUCGGAAGAACACCAGUGGCGAAGGCGACAUACUGGCUUAUUACUGACGCUGAGGCUCGAAAGCGUGGGGGGCAAACAGGAUUAGAUACCCGGGUAGUCCCUGUCUCUUAUAC
RNAcentral lists this ribosomal RNA (301 nucleotides) under uncultured bacterium. RNAcentral's name for it is "partial 16S ribosomal RNA". It matches the Rfam family "Bacterial small subunit ribosomal RNA", at positions 509 to 807 of the family's 1533-position model. The record is from RNAcentral.